UCCGGCUAUGGGAGCGGGUGGCGGCAGCACAGACAUGCAUUUCUACAAAAAACACCAGCGACUGCAUGGAGAACUGUGGCGUUUACCGGUACCGUCGACUUCGACUUAAUCCGCGGAGCUCCAAUAGACCGAAACAAACUCAAACUGGGGUCCAACUACCUCGCCUGAGCUUCACUUCCUCCGGAUAAGGUCGUCAGACAAAAGGAGUGCUUGUGGGAUGACGUCACUUCCGGGGUUUUGAUGGACUGUUUAUUCGAAACGGAAUGUUACAGCAUUGGCUUUUUUCUUUUACAUUUGCCUAACAGUGAAGACAAUUUUGUGUCACUUUACCUUUAAUGGGACUUCUUUAGCGUAUUUUAAUUAUUUAUUUGCAGAUAUAAAACAUUUGCCUGUGAAGCUUCUGCUUCCUUGUUUAUGAAAUGCAUUGUUUUUUCUUAAGGCAGCUCAAUGUAAAUGUAUUUUUCUAAAUUUUAAAAGUUUUUUUUUAAGUAUUAAAAUUAGCAGACUAAGAAAACUUAAAAAAUAUCCAACUGGUGUCAAGGAAAAUAUGUUUGAUGUUACCAAUGACAAAAACUAAAGAAUAAUAAAAAUCACAUACAUAUUAAGAAAAAAAUAAUAGAUUAGAAUAGUUACAUAUAUUUAAAAUAUUAAUUAAAACAAUAUUAAGAAACCUUAAACAUGACAUAGCAUGACAUUAACACUUUUGUGAAAAAACAAAUAGAAAAAAGAUAAUCUUUUACCAUCUUUCUUUUUAACAUUUGUAAAAUGAAUUAAACUUGAUUAAUUUAACACAGGAGAAUAUCCCCCAUUAAUAAAAGAAAUGAUAAUAAGUUAGUAUUUUUGCAGUUUUUUAAAUGUAUGUUUUCAUCUGUUAAAAUAGUUUCUUCUAUUAUUUUCUCCUGCUCCCAGAGUUUGGUAAUCAUUAAUUCCAUUAUUUAAAUUUCAGUCGACAUUAGAAAUCAGAGAAUCAAUGGAAAUAAUCACAGCCAUGAUGUUUAUUUAGUCUUCCAUUAAACUAAAGUUUUAUGCAGCCAUUUUGACCCGUCUUUGGAUAUUCUUCCCCUUUUUGUUGUUGUACUUGGAAUCAUCUUAGUAUAAAAAAGUCAACAAUAAGUCAAGUAAAGUGCAAAAACAUGUGUUUUAAUUAUAAAGACAUAGUUCUGUGGAUACAUUUUAUAUGGUGGAGAAAAAAUGGAAGAGUUAAUCUUUCUUUUUUCAUUAAUCAACUUAUUGCAGUGAAUGAACAAAAUAAAUCUAAAUCAAAUCAGUUUGUGGUGUGAUCAUCCUUUGUCCUUAAAACAGCAUAAUUUCUUGUAGGUACACCUUUUCUUUGGUAACUUAGCUGAAAAUUGUCCCAAACAUCAUUGAACUAACCUCAGAUUUUCAGUGGAUGUUGGCUUUCUCACAUCCUUCUGAAUCUUCAUGUAAUCCCAGACAUACUCCAUGAUUAUCUGAUCAGACUCCCUCCGAUGAAAAUCCUGAUUCUAAAGUCUCAAGAUGUUCUUGUAGCACUUUUCUCAUGAUACAGAACAUAUAUAAAGAAAAUUAAACUGUAUUUAUUUAUUUAUUCCUUCCAUGAAGCAUAAGGAACACCAAAAACAGAAAUUGAAGCUUAAAAUUCAAUUUCUAUGUAUUCAGUUUCAAUUAUUGUAUUUAUUGCAUCGGAUGCAAUGCAUCUAUUUGCAGACAAAUAGGCUGUGUCCCAACUCUCUUCCCACCCCUUAACUACUGAAAAACUGCAAAGAGCUUGUUUAUCUAGUGCCCUGGAUUUCUAGAAAGCAAUUUGGACACAAUCCUCAAUAUAUUUUCUUUUUGCCAGCAAUUGUAAGCAACUAUGACAUCACCAAUUUCCCAAAGUUAAAACCUCAUCACUAUGAACUUGAAGACUAUUUAUGACUCCACUGUGUUCUGAAGAUGAAAAAAAUGAUGCUUUUUAAAGAAUAAAUUCCAAUGUUUUUGUUUCCAUAUUAAAAGUCACAAUGCAUUGUGGUCUAAAUUCACGAAUCUAGUGAGCAAUCUGUUUUUUGCAGAGACUUUUGGGAAAUUUCUAGGGCUCCGGAUAUUGGAAUUGUAAAUUACAAUAUCUCUACAGCUCUACAAAUUUGUGAAUGCCAUAAAAAGUCUACUUGAUAAUAUAUUCUAGUAAAGGAAUUCAAACACAACCUUCACUUUCCUUGUGUUCACUGGGAUCUGGCUGGAAGGCAAAAAAAAAAAAAUCAAAGAAAGUGGCACAGAUUUGUUGAUUUUGGCCAAAAUAGCAUAAUUAUAAUUAAAAGAUAACUGGGAAUGCUUUUACAAUAGAUAAAAAGAGGAUUGGAGUGGCCAUCAUUUGCAUUACUUCUUAUUCUUUUUGUGCUAAAGAUAGUUUUUAAUGACUUUGGCUGUUUGUAUGGGUGUGUUGUCCUCCUGCAGAAUGAAUUUGGGGCUAAUCAUAUGCUUACCUGGUAGUAUUGCAUGAUGGAUGAGUGUUUUUCAGCAUUGAGAACACCAUUAAUCCUGACCAAAUCUCCUACUCCAUUUGCAGAAGUGCAGCCCCAAACGUUCAAACCCUCACCACGGUUCCAGUUCACCUGCAGACACUCAUUACUGUGGUGCUCUCCUGCCUUUUGACAAACUUCCUUCUGCUACAGCCAAGCAUUUCAAAUUUGACUCAUCGUUCCAGAAUAGCUGCUGCUGUUUUUUCUGCUCCCCAGUUCUUAUGAUUUUGUGCUUGGCCAUGUUUUUUGUUGAUGCACUCUAUCUCUCCAUGACAUGAAACUACAGUAUUCUCCACAACCUCAUCUUGGUAGUAGAGUUUCUUUUGUUUGCUCACUUAGAUUUAUAUAAAAAAAUAUUAUUUAUACUUCCGAAAGCAUACUUUACAGGUUUUUCCAAACUAGUCCAAAACUUUUUCACAGUUCAGUACAUAACUGCUAACCUUGAUAAAGAAAUAGUCAGAAUCAAACCUCAAUUUGAUCAUUUUUUCUUCUCUUCAUUGAAUCAUAUUAGCAUAUUACAAAUAAAUAAGCCGUAUCUACAUUUGACAUUAAUAUCAUGUAAUGUUGAAACAACAGCAGAAGAAUGCAAACAAAAAUGAUACGGAUGAGAAAAGUUCACUUUGAAAAUAUAAUUUAAAAGAAAAGAAGACAAGAUAAAAAAAAAAGAAAAA
Long non-coding RNA from Oryzias melastigma (Indian medaka), 3148 nucleotides. RefSeq lists it as uncharacterized. The record is from RefSeq and is a predicted model, not a curated record. Lineage: Eukaryota; Metazoa; Chordata; Actinopteri; Beloniformes; Adrianichthyidae. The transcript has 2 exons.